RNAcentral lists this ribosomal RNA (165 nucleotides) under uncultured bacterium. RNAcentral's name for it is "partial 16S ribosomal RNA". It matches the Rfam family "Bacterial small subunit ribosomal RNA", at positions 1334 to 1500 of the family's 1533-position model. The record is from RNAcentral.
GCUAGUAAUGGCAGGUCAGCAUACUGCCGUGAAUACGUUCCCGGGCCUUGUACACACCGCCCGUCACACCAUGAGAGUUGGAAAUACCCGAAGCCUGUGAGCUAACAAACGAGGCAGCAGUCGAAGGUAGAGCCAAUGAUUGGGGUGAAGUCGUAACAAGGUAGC